RNAcentral lists this ribosomal RNA (253 nucleotides) under uncultured bacterium. RNAcentral describes it as "partial 16S ribosomal RNA". It matches the Rfam family "Bacterial small subunit ribosomal RNA", at positions 524 to 776 of the family's 1533-position model. The record is from RNAcentral.
UACGGAGGGAGCUAGCGUUGUUCGGAAUUACUGGGCGUAAAGCGCGCGUAGGCGGCUUUGUAAGUUAGAGGUGAAAGCCCGGGGCUCAACCCCGGAACUGCCUUUAAGACUGCAUCGCUUGAAUCCGGGAGAGGUGAGUGGAAUUCCGAGUGUAGAGGUGAAAUUCGUAGAUAUUCGGAGGAACACCAGUGGCGAAGGCGGCUCACUGGUCCAUUACUGACGCUGAGGUGCGAAAGCGUGGGGAGCAAACAGG